This 464-nucleotide ribosomal RNA is filed under the name uncultured bacterium. Its description in RNAcentral is "partial 16S ribosomal RNA". It matches the Rfam family "Bacterial small subunit ribosomal RNA", at positions 338 to 795 of the family's 1533-position model. The record is from RNAcentral.
CCUACGGGUGGCAGCAGUGGGGAAUCUUCCGCAAUGGGCGAAAGCCUGACGGAGCAAAGCCGCGUGAUCGAAUGAAGGCCUUCGGGUUGUAAAGAUCUGUUGACAGGGAAGAAUAAGCAAUGCGAAUAGCUUUUUGUAUGACGGUACUUGUUUAGAAAGCUCAGGCUAACUACGGGCCAGCAGCCGCGUUAAGACGGAGGGAGCAAGCGUUGGCCGGAAUUACUGGGAGUAAAGGGCGCGUAGUUGGGUGCUUAAGUCAGGUGUGAAAACGUCGGGCUCAACCUGGAGAAUGCAAUUGAAACUGGCUGUCUUGAGGACAGGAGAGGAAGGUGGAAUUCCUGGUGUAGCGGUGAAAUGCAUAGAUAUUAGGAAGAACACCAAUGGCGAAGGCAGCUUUCUGGACUGUACCUGACGCUGAGGCUCGAAAGCGUGGGUAUCGAACGGGAUUAGAUACCCGAGUAGUC